This 568-nucleotide ribosomal RNA is filed under the name uncultured bacterium. Its description in RNAcentral is "partial 16S ribosomal RNA". It matches the Rfam family "Bacterial small subunit ribosomal RNA", at positions 355 to 914 of the family's 1533-position model. The record is from RNAcentral.
UGGGGAAUUUUGGACAAUGGGCGAAAGCCUGAUCCAGCAAUGCCGCGUGUGUGAAGAAGGCCUUCGGGCUGUAAAGCACUUUUGUCCGGAAAGAAAUCCUUGGCUCUAAUACAGUCGGGGGAUGACGGUACCGGAAGAAUAAGCACCGGCUAACUACGUGCCAGCAGCCGCGGUAAUACGUAGGGUGCAAGCGUUAAUCGGAAUUACUGGGCGUAAAGCGUGCGCAGGCGGUUUGCUAAGACCGAUGUGAAAUCCCCGGGCUCAACCUGGGAACUGCAUUGGUGACUGGCAGGCUAGAGUAUGGCAGAGGGGGGUAGAAUUCCACGUGUAGCAGUGAAAUGCGUAGAGAUGUGGAGGAAUACCGAUGGCGAAGGCAGCCCCCUGGGCCAAAUACUGACGCUCAUGCACGAAAGCGUGGGGAGCAAACAGGAUUAGAUACCCUGGUAGUCCACGCCCUAAACGAUGUCAACUAGUUGUUGGGGAUUCAUUUCCUUAGUAACGUAGCUAACGCGUGAAGUUGAUCCGCCUGGGGAGUACGGUCGCAAGAUUAAAACUCAAAGGAAUUGAC